Molecule: ribosomal RNA, 336 nt
Filed under: uncultured soil bacterium
Lineage: Bacteria
Description: bacterial SSU rRNA
Rfam family: Bacterial small subunit ribosomal RNA
Source: RNAcentral
AGGAUGAACGUUGGCGGCGUGCCUAACACAUGCAAGUCGAACGGUAGUCGCAAGACUACAGUGGCGCACGGGUGAGUAACACGUAGCUUACCUCCCUCUCAGCGCGGGAUAACGGCUCGAGAGAGCUGCUAAUACCGCAUAAGCUCACGGGUUCCAGAGACUUGUGAAGAAAGGCUUCGGUCACUGAGAGACGGGCUGCCGGCCAUCGAGCUAGUGGCGUGGUAAGGCACACAGGCGACGACGGUAGGGACUGAGACGGGUCGACCCCCACACGUCGGACGUAGAGACCGACCGGCCACGACUCCGUACGGGAGGCGAGCGAGUACGGAGGUAAAC